RNAcentral lists this ribosomal RNA (512 nucleotides) under uncultured bacterium. Its description in RNAcentral is "bacterial SSU rRNA". It matches the Rfam family "Bacterial small subunit ribosomal RNA", at positions 36 to 507 of the family's 1533-position model. The record is from RNAcentral.
CUGGCGGCGUGCCUAAUACAUGCAAGUCGAACGCACUCUCGUUUAGAUUGAAGGAGCUUGCUCCUGAUUGAUAAACAUUUGAGUGAGUGGCGGACGGGUGAGUAACACGUGGGUAACCUGCCCUAAAGUGGGGGAUAACAUUUGGAAACAGAUGCUAAUACCGCAUAAAACCUAACACCGCAUGGUGUAGGGUUGAAAGAUGGUUUCGGCUAUCACUUUAGGAUGGACCCGCGGCGCAUUAGUUAGUUGGUGAGGUAAAGGCUCACCAAGACCGUGAUGCAUAGCCGACCUGAGAGGGUAAUCGGCCACACUGGGACUGAGACACGGCCCAGACUCCUACGGGAGGCAGCAGUAGGGAAUCUUCCACAAUGGACGAAAGUCUGAUGGAGCAACGCCGCGUGAGUGAAGAAGGUUUUCGGAUCGUAAAACUCUGUUGUUGGAGAAGAAUGUAUCUGAUAGUAACUGAUCAGGUAGUGACGGUAUCCAACCAGAAAGCCACGGCUAACUACGUG